This 737-nucleotide ribosomal RNA is filed under the name Hymenobacter sp. EB54. RNAcentral describes it as "bacterial SSU rRNA". It matches the Rfam family "Bacterial small subunit ribosomal RNA", at positions 94 to 835 of the family's 1533-position model. The record is from RNAcentral. Lineage: Bacteria; Pseudomonadati; Bacteroidota; Cytophagia; Cytophagales; Hymenobacteraceae.
AGUGGCGCACGGGUGCGUAACGCCUAUGCAACCUACCUCGAACUGGGGGAUAGCCCGGAGAAAUCCGGAUUAAUACCGCAUAAGACCACGUGAGGACAUCCGAGUGUGGUUAAAGAUUCAUUGGUUUGAGAUGGGCAUGCGUGCCAUUAGCUAGUUGGUGGUGUAACGGACCACCAAGGCGACGAUGGCUAGGGGUUCUGAGAGGACGGUCCCCCACACUGGCACUGAGAUACGGGCCAGACUCCUACGGGAGGCAGCAGUAGGGAAUAUUGGGCAAUGGGCGGAAGCCUGACCCAGCCAUGCCGCGUGCAGGAUGAAGGCCUUCUGGGUUGUAAACUGCUUUUACAGGGGAAGAAAACGCCCAUGCGUGGGAAACUGACGGUACCCUGGGAAUAAGCACCGGCUAACUCCGUGCCAGCAGCCGCGGUAAUACGGAGGGUGCAAGCGUUGUCCGGAUUUAUUGGGUUUAAAGGGUGCGUAGGCGGCCCAUUAAGUCAGCGGUGAAAGCCCGGGGCUCAACCCCGGAACCGCCGUUGAUACUGGUGGGCUUGAGUAUGGACGAGGUUGGCGGAAUUGAGGGUGUAGCGGUGAAAUGCUUAGAUACCCUCAAGAACACCGAUUGCGUAGCAGCUAACUAGGCCAUAACUGACGCUGAGGCACGAAAGCGUGGGGAGCGACAGGAUUAGAUACCCUGGUAUCCACGCCGUAACGAUGAUACUCGAUGUCGGCGACAGACC